RNAcentral lists this ribosomal RNA (460 nucleotides) under uncultured bacterium. Its description in RNAcentral is "partial 16S ribosomal RNA". It matches the Rfam family "Bacterial small subunit ribosomal RNA", at positions 338 to 795 of the family's 1533-position model. The record is from RNAcentral.
CCUACGGGAGGCAGCAGUGAGGAAUAUUGGUCAAUGGACGAGAGUCUGAACCAGCCAAGUAGCGUGAAGGAUGACUGCCCUAUGGGUUGUAAACUUCUUUUAUAUGGGAAUAAAAUGUUCCACGUGUGGGAUUUUGUAUGUACCAUAUGAAUAAGGAUCGGCUAACUCCGUGCCAGCAGCCGCGGUAAUACGGAGGAUCCGAGCGUUAUCCGGAUUUAUUGGGUUUAAAGGGAGCGUAGGUGGAUUGUUAAGUCAGUUGUGAAAGUUUGCGGCUCAACCGUAAAAUUGCAGUUGAAACUGGCAGUCUGGAGUACAGUAGAGGUGGGCGGAAUUUGUGGUGUAGCGGUGAAAUGCUUAGAUAUCACGAAGAACUCCGAUUGCGAAGGCAGCUCACUGGACUGCAACUGACACUGAGGCUCGAAAGUGUGGGUAUCAAACAGGAUUAGAUACCCCAGUAGUC